RNAcentral lists this transfer RNA (69 nucleotides) under Camelus bactrianus (Bactrian camel). It matches the Rfam family "tRNA". From Rfam's summary of the family: Transfer RNA (tRNA) molecules are approximately 80 nucleotides in length. Their secondary structure includes four short double-helical elements and three loops (D, anti-codon, and T loops). Further hydrogen bonds mediate the characteristic L-shaped molecular structure. tRNAs have two regions of fundamental functional importance: the anti-codon, which is responsible for specific mRNA codon recognition, and the 3' end, to which the tRNAs corresponding amino acid is attached (by aminoacyl-tRNA synthetases). tRNAs cope with the degeneracy of the genetic code in two manners: having more than one tRNA (with a specific anti-codon) for a particular amino acid; and 'wobble' base-pairing, i.e. permitting non-standard base-pairing at the 3rd anti-codon position. RNAcentral also lists the same sequence under 2 other names. The record is from Rfam by way of RNAcentral. Lineage: Eukaryota; Metazoa; Chordata; Mammalia; Artiodactyla; Camelidae.
GAAACAGCUCAGUGGUAGAGUACAUGCUUAGCAUGCACAAGGUCCUGGGUUCGAUCCCCAGUAAUUUCA